CAAUUGAAUGCUUGCGCGAAGGGAAGGAUCUAUCGUGCAAAUAUCCCCUCUUUGCAGAAUCACGCGGAUCCCAGGGGAUAAGAAUUGGAUCGGGUCUCAUCGGGUUCCAAACGAUGUAGUUUUUAAACCAUUGGAAUUGGUUUAUACGGUACCGUUUUUUACUUCCUUAUAAAGGCCAAACAAUGCCUUUAUUCAGCCAAACGAACACCACAACCCUAGCAUCCCCCUUUUAAUCCUUUCAGCCGAACCCUAACAUUCCUCUAAGAGCUGAUCUACCACCAUGAAUGGCCAUCAGCCCAUCCGAGCCUCAGAGUUAUUUUCAGCCUUAAGACCCCUUCUAUACUCCGAUUUCGACGAAGAAGAAGAAGUUUCAUGGUGUACUUUCAAGGUACAUUCGACGGCUUUUUAUAGCCAGAUUUACAGAGUAAAUAAAAACUAAAAUUACAUUUUCUUGCUAUCAUCUGCUGUAAAUUCUGUUAUUUUGUUCUUUCUCGUGCGUUCUUUUGCUGCGUUUAUUUUCCUUCUCACAGGUUCUAUUGACGUGGAGGCGUAUGGAGAAGAAACCCGUCGUGGAGAGGCCGUUCGUGGAAGCCCGCUUCUGGCUAGCUGCGGCGCUGGUGUUCCAGAAACCUCUAGGGUUUCUGGUGCCUUCCCGAUAUUGGGCUCACUUGGGCCAUUUAUGAAUUGGGUUAGGUUAAAGGGUUUGAUUGUAAUGGGACUUUGAAGUAGGGUCUUGUUGUAUGUUUGGGUUGUUUGGGUAUUGGGCCACUGUAGCUAGAUCAUAAUUUGGGUAGGGUUUGUUUUUACAUUUGGGCUGGUAUAGAUCUAGUAUUUGCUGAAAGUUGUAAGUGAACUUUUUGGGCUAUCUUAGUCUUGGAUAUUAUUUGUCUUUUAUUUUAAUUUAUUUGGGUUUAUUGAUCUGACUUAUUUAUUUAUUGUAAAUAAAUAAAUUAAAUGGGCCUGGGCAAAA
Gossypium arboreum is the source of this 970-nucleotide long non-coding RNA. RefSeq lists it as uncharacterized. The transcript is spliced from 2 exons. Lineage: Eukaryota; Viridiplantae; Streptophyta; Magnoliopsida; Malvales; Malvaceae. The record is from RefSeq and is a predicted model, not a curated record.